RNAcentral lists this ribosomal RNA (253 nucleotides) under uncultured bacterium. RNAcentral's name for it is "partial 16S ribosomal RNA". It matches the Rfam family "Bacterial small subunit ribosomal RNA", at positions 524 to 776 of the family's 1533-position model. The record is from RNAcentral.
UACGUAGGGGGCAAGCGUUGUCCGGAAUCAUUGGGCGUAAAGAGCGUGUAGGCGGCCAGGUAGGUCCGUUGUGAAAACUCGAGGCUUAACCUCGAGACGUCGAUGGAAACCAUCUGGCUAGAGUCCGGAAGAGGAGAGUGGAAUUCCUGGUGUAGCGGUGAAAUGCGCAGAUAUCAGGAAGAACACCCGUGGCGAAGGCGGCUCUCUGGGACGUGACUGACGCUGAGACGCGAAAGCGUGGGGAGCAAACAGG